CAAGUCGAGGGGUAACAGGGAGCUUGCUCCGCUGACGACCGGCGCACGGGUGCGUAACGCGUAUAGAACCUACCUUUUACUGAGGGAUAGCCCUUAGAAAUGAAGAUUAAUAUCUCAUAGUAUUGAGAAGUGGCAUCACUUUUAAUUAAAGAUUUAUUGGUAAAAGAUGGCUACGCGUCCUAUUAGCUAGAUGGUAAGGUAACGGCUCACCAUGGCGACGAUAGGUAGGGGUCCUGAGAGGGAGAUCCCCCACACUGGUACUGAGACACGGACCAGACUCC
This 281-nucleotide ribosomal RNA is filed under the name unidentified marine bacterioplankton. Its description in RNAcentral is "partial 16S ribosomal RNA". It matches the Rfam family "Bacterial small subunit ribosomal RNA", at positions 58 to 339 of the family's 1533-position model. The record is from RNAcentral.